Hyphomonadaceae bacterium is the source of this 99-nucleotide non-coding RNA. The record is from Rfam. NCBI's taxonomy places the organism in Bacteria, Pseudomonadati, Pseudomonadota, Alphaproteobacteria, Hyphomonadales, Hyphomonadaceae.
UGGAGAUCGGCGGUGGACGUAGUCCUCGCCAAUUCGGUCAGGUCCGGAAGGAAGCAGCCGCAACGAGUUUCGCUAUGGGUCGCCGUUCGGUCUCCACCC